Molecule: ribosomal RNA, 775 nt
Filed under: Psychrobacter sp.
Lineage: Bacteria; Pseudomonadati; Pseudomonadota; Gammaproteobacteria; Moraxellales; Moraxellaceae
Description: bacterial SSU rRNA
Rfam family: Bacterial small subunit ribosomal RNA
Source: RNAcentral
ANUCNAGCGGAACGAUGGUAGCUUGCUACCAGGCGUCGAGCGGCGGACGGGUGAGUAAUACUUAGGAAUCUACCUAGUAGUGGGGGAUAGCACGGGGAAACUCGUAUUAAUACCGCAUACGACCUACGGGAGAAAGGGGGCAGUUUACUGCUCUCGCUAUUAGAUGAGCCUAAGUCGGAUUAGCUAGAUGGUGGGGUAAAGGCCUACCAUGGCGACGAUCUGUAGCUGGUCUGAGAGGAUGAUCAGCCACACCGGGACUGAGACACGGCCCGGACUCCUACGGGAGGCAGCAGUGGGGAAUAUUGGACAAUGGGGGAAACCCUGAUCCAGCCAUGCCGCGUGUGUGAAGAAGGCCUUUUGGUUGUAAAGCACUUUAAGCAGUGAAGAAGACUCUUCGGUUAAUACCCGGAGACGAUGACAUUAGCUGCAGAAUAAGCACCGGCUAACUCUGUGCCAGCAGCCGCGGUAAUACAGAGGGUGCAAGCGUUAAUCGGAAUUACUGGGCGUAAAGCGAGCGUAGGUGGCUUGAUAAGUCAGAUGUGAAAUCCCCGGGCUUAACCUGGGAACUGCAUCUGAAACUGUUAGGCUAGAGUAGGUGAGAGGGAAGUAGAAUUUCANGUGUAGCGGUGAAAUGCGUANAGAUCUGAANGAAUACCGAUGGCGAANGCAGCUUCCUGGCAUCAUACUGACACUGANGCUCGAAAGCGUGGGUAGCAAACAGGAUUANAUACCCUGGUAGUCCACGCCGUAAACGAUGUCUACUAAUCNUUGGGUC